This 45-nucleotide non-coding RNA is filed under the name Schistosoma margrebowiei. The record is from RNAcentral. Lineage: Eukaryota; Metazoa; Platyhelminthes; Trematoda; Strigeidida; Schistosomatidae.
AUCCAGCUAAAGAGUCCUAAAUAGGACGACACGCUCAGCCUGGAU